Molecule: ribosomal RNA, 142 nt
Filed under: Listeria fleischmannii FSL S10-1203
Lineage: Bacteria; Bacillati; Bacillota; Bacilli; Caryophanales; Listeriaceae
Description: partial 23S ribosomal RNA
Rfam family: Bacterial large subunit ribosomal RNA
Source: RNAcentral
AGGUUAAGUUAGGAAGGGCGCACGGUGGAUGCCUUGGCACUAGGAGCCGAAGAAGGACGGGACUAACACCGAUAUGCUUUGGGGAGCUGUACGUAAGCGUUGAUCCAGAGAUUUCCGAAUGGGGGAACCCACUAUCUUUAGU